Long non-coding RNA from Physeter macrocephalus (sperm whale), 3414 nucleotides. RefSeq lists it as uncharacterized. The transcript has 5 exons. The record is from RefSeq and is a predicted model, not a curated record. NCBI's taxonomy places the organism in Eukaryota, Metazoa, Chordata, Mammalia, Artiodactyla, Physeteridae.
CGGGGGCGGGGCUUUGCGGACGCAACGCACGUCGAGGUGCUGCUGCCGGGAGCUGCGGAGGCUGCGGGUUUGAGCUUCCGAGGCUGCUGGGUUGGUCUGCGGCGGUUGCUUUGGCUGCGGCCGGCCCGCGGCUGGAGGUUGGAGAGAAAUCCAGGUACUCAGUUGACCGGUCCUUUCUGCUGCCAUGGGGGAGCUUUUCCGGAGUGAGGAGAUGACACUGGCCCAGCUUUUUCUACAGUCAGAAGCUGCUUAUUGUUGUGUCAGUGAAUUAGGAGAACUCGGAAAGGUUCAGUUUCGUGACUUAAAUCCAGAUGUGAACGUUUUCCAGCGGAAAUUUGUGAAUGAAGUUAGAAGAUGUGAAGAAAUGGAUCGAAAGCUUCGAUUUGUUGAGAAAGAGAUAAGGAAAGCCAAUAUCCCAAUUAUGGACACUGGCGAAAACCCAGAGGUGCCCUUCCCCCGGGACAUGAUUGACUUAGAGGCCAAUUUUGAGAAGAUUGAAAAUGAACUGAAGGAAAUCAACACAAACCAGGAAGCUCUGAAGAGAAAUUUCCUGGAACUGACUGAAUUAAAAUUUAUACUUCGCAAAACUCAGCAGUUUUUCGAUGAGGUCAGACUAUAGUUUCUUUUAAUAUUUGAGCGGCUGAUAUUACACCAGCACAAGUGGGCCAUAUUUUUAUUCCAAUAAUUAUUUUAAUUUGCUAGUUUGAAAGCAAUACCAUUUCUGCACCCUGUUUUAGUUGAAGAAAUGUCAGAUUAUGUUCCAUUUUUCAUGCAGUACACAGCCAGCCAUGGUUUUGUAUAAUUUUGCAUUUUCAGCAAUUUUUCAUCUCAAGAUGGGGAAAGGAACCCUAAAGUAGUUGUGUAAACAUAGUUAGAUGAAAUUUUUACAUUUUAAGGUAAGUAUAUGCUUAAAGUUGAAGCAACAGGAAACAGUUAGUUAUACAUGAAAUUAUAACAAAGGUUUAAUGUCCAAACCUUUUGUCGUUAAAUUUUAAUUUUUAUCCUCUAUGUUUGCUUGUCAACUUUGAGCACAUUUUUAAGUACUCCAGAUUGCACACCACACUUAAUUUUUCAAGAGCUUUUCUUUAUGUUGUUUGGAAAAUUGGUAGGAUGCCUGUUUGAAAUUCCUGGAUUUUCAUAUAAACUCAACUUUAUUACCUUGUAGGGAAAAAAAUGUUAAUAAGUUCCUGGAUUAAAAAUGUAGGUGACUAAGUUGCCAGGUGACAGCUUGCUGAGGUGAUCCCAUGGAAAGGAUGGGAAUAAGGCUUUCAGAAGGCUUCCUUCUCCUAAUUAAACCUGGGGAGGAGUCGUAGCUUUCAGCCUGGACGUGCUUUUUCUGAUGGCCUAGAAUAUGGGUAACUCUCUUUUCAAUAGGUGUCUUUGCCACCAGAUUAACAACAUCAGACAUUUCAGAGAGUGUCCCAGUCACUCUUCAGUGUACCUUCCCAUAAAUUCUUUAUUUCCUUUGCUCAACAACAAUAAAAAUUAGCAAAGCUUUUGAAAACAGAAGGCCCAUUUUACUUAGCGUCUUAUAUGUCCUCAGUUUUACUUUUAAUUUCUGUCUUUAGAGGAAAGAAUAACUCUCACUAGUUCUCUAGCCUGGAGCGGGAGGUUGCCAACUAGCAACAUCAGCCUCACCUGGGAACUUGUCAGAAUGCAAAUUUUCGGUCCUCACACGAGACUUUUUCAAUCAGAAACGAACUCUGAGGGUGGUGCCCAGCCCAGCAAUCUGUUUUCACAGGGUGAUUCUGAAGCGUGCUAGUGUGAGAACCGCGGGGCUAGAGGAAGUCAGCUGAAGAUGCGAUACAUUCCUUAGUAACUAAGGAUUUGACUCAGAGAAGCCAUGCUAGUUCAAAGGAUCUGUUGGAGCCAGGGAAAGGAGAAAAGCUCAUAGGAAUUUAAUCGCCCAGUCUUCCUGAGAAUCAGGAUCUGGCUACGUACCAGGAGAGGGUUGGUGUGAAUAUUCAGUUUGCUCACUGAGUUGAGAAUUUUGAGACUGAUGGUGACUUCUUUCACCAGUCCCCGAUAUCACAUUAAAGGGCGUGGGACAGCGUGAUUAACUCUUUCCAGGUGUUUCAGGUCUUUUGCAACAGGCACGGCCACUUCUGCCCAAUGGUUUUGAUGAACAAAUAAUCUGGAAUUCCAGUGUACUCACUGUGACAACCUCAUUGUGUUUAUACUCAUUAAUUCACAGAGCAUUUGAAGAGCACCUACUGUUUGUAAAGCAUAAGAUGGGUAAGACAUGGUCCCUGUGUUCAAGGAAUAUGUCACUUACUCAUAUCAGGAAACAUCCCUGAACACAGUGCCUGCCUAUGCUGCCCACAGAUCCAAAGUAAAUCUGGCUUCAGGGUCAAAGCUUAGUUACUUUUAUUAUUAUUUGGGACUUAAUUCUUUUACCCUCUCCCCUCUUUCUUUCCCUUUUGAUAUAGCCUUUAGUUUACUGCUGGGAUGUUGCUGAGAUGUAUGAAAAUGUUUUUCAUAACCUCCUGAGUUUAAGGAUUGGGAUAGGCUUCCUAGUCUAGUUCAUUCUGGUAGAGAUUCUGAAUAAAGACUGACACAUGGACUCCCUUAAUGGAAAUAGUUUUUUAAACUGUUCAUUUUAUAAUUAAAAAAAUAGUAGAAACAAAAUAAGAGGAUAUGUAAAAUAGAUAACUAAUAAGGACCUACUGUAAAGCACAGGGAACUCUUCUCAGUACUCUGUAAUGACCUAUAUGGGAAAAGAAUCUUAAAAAGAGUGGAUAUAUGUAUGUGUAUAACUGAUAACACUUUGCUGUACGGCAGAAACUAACACAACAUUGUAAAUCAACUAUACUCCAAUAAAAAUUUUUUUUAAAAAUAAGAGGAACCACUUGGAAAGAUGAUAUAAGAUUUAAAAAUUGUCGCUAUGGGUUUAGGAAUUUUCUUUGUGAUUAAUAGGUCUAAACAUGAAAUACUCAUCCUGAGAAGGCAGACAUGACCUUCAUGCCCUAUCCAUUUUGCAUUGUUUUCCCCCUCCUACUCGUGCAAAACAUUUGUUUUGAACCUCUGGAAGUACUUUUGAUCACGAGGCCUUGGCUGUGAGCGGUUCUUCUGUUGCUUCUGUCAUCAGUCCCUGUCACUCCCUUGUGAGGAGUCUUCUGGCAAGCACCACUCCUCCUUUUCUCUACUAGUGCCCAGUCAGCGUCUUGCCCGCUUUUACCAUUAGCUCUUAGUCUCAGCCAGGUCCCCUUCACUAGCCCCUGCCCUGCUGUGGCCAUACAGCAGUCUCAAUUGUCACUGCCAUGAUAGGAGACAAGGCCUCACAGAGUUAAGCACGUCUGCACACGCGAGUGCACGCUUUACUGAAUGCAAGAGACAAGGAAACUUGGGACCCUCAAAUCUCAGAGAUGUAGAAUUUCAUGAGACUUUCUUCCAUGCCUGAGAUUAUAAUGUUUG